RNAcentral lists this ribosomal RNA (467 nucleotides) under uncultured bacterium. RNAcentral describes it as "partial 16S ribosomal RNA". It matches the Rfam family "Bacterial small subunit ribosomal RNA", at positions 28 to 507 of the family's 1533-position model. The record is from RNAcentral.
GGUGAACGCUGGCGGCGUGCCUAAGACAUGCAAGUCGAGCGGGGCAGGUUUAUACCUGUUCAGCGGCGGACGGGUGAGUAACGCGUGGGUGACCUACCCGGAAGAGGCGGACAACCUGGGGAAACCCAGGCUAAUCCGCCAUGUGGUCCUGUCCUGUGGGGCAGGACUAAAGGGGCGACCCGCUUCCGGAUGGGCCCGCGUCCCAUCAGCUAGUUGGUGGGGUAAAGGCCCACCAAGGCGACGACGGGUAGCCGGUCUGAGAGGAUGGCCGGCCACAGGGGCACCGAGACACGGGCGCCACGCCUACGGGAGGCAGCAGUUAGGAAUCUUCCGCAAUGGACGGAAGUCUGACGGAGCGACGCCGCUUGGAGGAGGAAGCCAUUCGGGGUGUAAACUCCUGAACUGGGGACGAAAGCCCCGUGUAGGGGGAUGACGGUACCCAGGUAAUAGCGCCGGCCAACUCCGUG